This 468-nucleotide ribosomal RNA is filed under the name uncultured bacterium. RNAcentral's name for it is "partial 16S ribosomal RNA". It matches the Rfam family "Bacterial small subunit ribosomal RNA", at positions 28 to 507 of the family's 1533-position model. The record is from RNAcentral.
GACGAACGCUGGCGGCGUGCUUAACACAUGCAAGUCGAACGGAAAGGCCCUGCUUUUGUGGGGUGCUCGAGUGGCGAACGGGUGAGUAACACGUGAGUAACCUGCCCUUGACUUUGGGAUAACUUCAGGAAACUGGGGCUAAUACCGGAUAGGAGCUCCUGCUGCAUGGUGGGGGUUGGAACGUUUCGGCGGUUGGGGAUGGACUCGCGGCUUAUCAGCUUGUUGGUGGGGUAGUGGCUUACCAAGGCUUUGACGGGUAGCCGGCCUGAGAGGGUGACCGGCCUCAUUGGGACUGCGAUACGGCCCAGACUCCUACGGGAGGCAGCAGUGGGGAAUAUUGCACAAUGGGCGGAAGCCUGAUGCAGCAACGCCGCGUGCGGGAUGACGGCCUUCGGGUUGUAAACCGCUUUCGCCUGUGACGAAGCGUGAGUGACGGUAAUGGGUAAAGAAGCACCGGCUAACUACGUG